AUGCCGCGUGCAGGAUGACGGUCCUAUGGAUUGUAAACUGCUUUUGUACAGGAAGAAACAGUUCUACGUGUAGAACCUUGACGGUACUGUAAGAAUAAGGAUCGGCUAACUCCGUGCCAGCAGCCGCGGUAAUACGGAGGAUCCAAGCGUUAUCCGGAAUCAUUGGGUUUAAAGGGUCCGUAGGCGGUUUUGUAAGUCAGUGGUGAAAGCCCAUCGCUCAACGGUGGAACGGCCAUUGAUACUGCAAGACUUGAAUUACUAGGAAGUAACUAGAAUAUGUAGUGUAGCGGUGAAAUGCUUAGAUAUUACAUGGAAUACCGAUUGCGAAGGCAGGUUACUACUAGUGGAUUGACGCUGAUGGACGAAAGCGUGGGGAGCGAACAGGAUUAGAUACCCUGGUAGUCCACGCCAUAAACGAUGGAUACUAGCUGUUCGGGGCAAUCUGAGUGGCUAAGCGAAAGUGAUAAGUAUCCCACCUGGGGAGUACGUUCGCAAGAAUG
RNAcentral lists this ribosomal RNA (500 nucleotides) under uncultured Bacteroidota bacterium. RNAcentral's name for it is "bacterial SSU rRNA". It matches the Rfam family "Bacterial small subunit ribosomal RNA", at positions 394 to 896 of the family's 1533-position model. The record is from RNAcentral. Lineage: Bacteria; Pseudomonadati; Bacteroidota.